Molecule: transfer RNA, 84 nt
Filed under: Candidatus Iainarchaeum sp.
Lineage: Archaea; Nanobdellati; Candidatus Iainarchaeota; Candidatus Iainarchaeia; Candidatus Iainarchaeales; Candidatus Iainarchaeaceae
Description: tRNA-Ser
Rfam family: tRNA
About the family: Transfer RNA (tRNA) molecules are approximately 80 nucleotides in length. Their secondary structure includes four short double-helical elements and three loops (D, anti-codon, and T loops). Further hydrogen bonds mediate the characteristic L-shaped molecular structure. tRNAs have two regions of fundamental functional importance: the anti-codon, which is responsible for specific mRNA codon recognition, and the 3' end, to which the tRNAs corresponding amino acid is attached (by aminoacyl-tRNA synthetases). tRNAs cope with the degeneracy of the genetic code in two manners: having more than one tRNA (with a specific anti-codon) for a particular amino acid; and 'wobble' base-pairing, i.e. permitting non-standard base-pairing at the 3rd anti-codon position.
Source: RNAcentral
GCGGGGGUGGCGGAGUGGUCUAACGCGGCAGCCUGCUAAGCUGUUACUCGAAAGGGUGCACGAGUUCAAAUCUCGUCCCCCGCG